AUGCACUUGAUCUCUGCCUUGUCUCUAUGAGCAGGUACACUUUGAGCAAAACACGGAGGAGUUUUAUAACUCUCAGACUCUACCAAGUGAAGGACCUGGAUCUACGAGCACAAACACACUGAGCAGGUUACUGCCAACGCCGCACAUCGAAUUGCUGGGCAAACGAAGAACAUGGGUGACACCGUAUCAAGAGGUGCAGACGUCAAGGUCCGCACCUGAAUCAAAUGACGCACCUGAAGAAUGAACACGGUGAGAAGUCUUGUUCAGAAGACUUAAAACAUUCAACCAUCACCGAAAGGUAAGAUCGGUAGUUAUCCAUAUUUAUCCUUUCUGCAUUCCCUUUUCCCUUUAAUUAUUUAAUUUCCUUAAAUAGAUUAUUAUUUAAUCAUGCUAUCUUGAAAAGAAACUAAAAAUGUUAAAAAAUACUAAGCCCCA
This 435-nucleotide long non-coding RNA is filed under the name Sorghum bicolor (sorghum). RNAcentral's name for it is "long non-coding RNA (SBIC_LNC014529)". The record is from RNAcentral. Lineage: Eukaryota; Viridiplantae; Streptophyta; Magnoliopsida; Poales; Poaceae.